Long non-coding RNA from Brassica rapa (field mustard), 919 nucleotides. RefSeq lists it as uncharacterized. NCBI's taxonomy places the organism in Eukaryota, Viridiplantae, Streptophyta, Magnoliopsida, Brassicales, Brassicaceae. The record is from RefSeq and is a predicted model, not a curated record.
AUAUAAAUUGUACUCUUUGCUCAUGUUGUUGUUCUGAAAGCAUAUAUUGAUCAGCCAGGUGCUUCAACUUCGUCCUUAACCUGAAGAAUAAGUAAACAAAAUCCACUGAUAUUGACGAAGGACCUCCGAAAUAUGUAAGAAUAUAGUUUGCAGAGUGUGACAGAGCGUGUUCAUGAUGAUUUUUUUUACUUUUUGUGUAACAAAACGAUAUGUAUGAAAUAUAUAUUCUAUAACACUUCCUACUCCACUACAAUUGAAAACUGUGGGGAUUACGUUCUUUGGGCUUACAUCUCAUUUUCUUUUAGUUGUGAGAGGCUUUCAUCCUUUUGCUCGUCCAACUUAAUGCUCACAUCCUAUUAACCAAAGUGAAUUUAGUAAGGUCAAGAGUAUAGCAGAAAAAAAAAGGAUGGUUUCAUUUUUACAAGUUUCUGAAUAUUGCAAAAGCCUACAAAGUAAUCAAAUUAAUGUUCUAUCAGUCUGUUACAGAGUCUCCAUCUACGUGAAACUAACAUGUGCCAGCCAAUAUUAUUGCGGAAUUUCACAUGUUAAGGAAGAAGAAAAAGGAUAGAUUAUUUCCCUGAGCAAAUAACUCAGAAGAUUAAAGAAGACACUAAGGAAUAGAACGAGAUGCAUCAGGAUUUGCCUACUGAGGAAGGAUAAACAAAGCUAUUAAACAUCAGUCCUUCUUACUACCAAAUACCAAUACCAGUGGCAAAAUUUCUUAAACUUUGUAACCAGCAACAAAGAUCAAAACACUAGGAAGAAUUCAAAUGUUCAUCUAACCUUAAUCGCUUCCUGGAACUUGGUUGAUAAAUCUGAUCUUAAAGUCUGCCCCUCAGUCGAAACCCGCUUGCAUUCUUCCUGUGAUACAAAGGAACAACAACAAGACAAGACACUCUAUAACGCAAACAAAGUAGAG